This 522-nucleotide ribosomal RNA is filed under the name fungal sp. R6. Its description in RNAcentral is "eukaryotic LSU rRNA". The stretch from base 181 to 334 matches the Rfam family "5.8S ribosomal RNA". Lineage: Eukaryota; Fungi. The record is from RNAcentral.
AGGGAUCAUUACCGAGUUCAUGCCCUUACGGGUAGACCUCCCACCCUAUGUUAUAUUACCUUCGUUGCUUUGGCAGGCCGUCAGGCUUCGGUCAGGCUACCGGCUCAAGCUGGUAAGCGCCUGCCAGAGGACCCCUAAACUCUGAAUAUUAGUGUCGUCUGAGUACUAUAAAAUAGUUAAAACUUUCAACAACGGAUCUCUUGGUUCUGGCAUCGAUGAAGAACGCAGCGAAAUGCGAUAAGUAAUGUGAAUUGCAGAAUUCAGUGAAUCAUCGAAUCUUUGAACGCACAUUGCGCCCCUUGGUAUUCCGAGGGGCAUGCCUGUUCGAGCGUCAUUACAACCCUCAAGCACUGCUUGGUAUUGGGCCCCGCUGGUUUCAGCGGGCCUUAAAAUCAGUGGCAGCGCCAUCUGGGCUCUGAGCGUAGUAAAUAUCCUCGCUAUAGAGACCAGGUGGGUCUUGCCAUCAACCCCCAAUUCUCUAAGUUUGACCUCGGAUCAGGUAGGGAUACCCGCUGAACUUAA